Molecule: ribosomal RNA, 215 nt
Filed under: uncultured bacterium
Lineage: Bacteria
Description: partial 16S ribosomal RNA
Rfam family: Bacterial small subunit ribosomal RNA
Source: RNAcentral
GCCCCAGUUCGGAUUGCAGGCUGCAACCCGCCUGCAUGAAGUUGGAAUCGCUAGUAAUCGCGGAUCAGCAUGCCGCGGUGAAUACGUUCCCGGGCCUUGUACACACCGCCCGUCACACCAUGAGAGUCGGGAACACCCGAAGUCCGUAGUCUGACCGCAAGGGGACGCGGCCGAAGGUGGGUUCGAUAAUUGGGGUGAAGUCGUAACAAGGUAAC